This 650-nucleotide ribosomal RNA is filed under the name uncultured bacterium. RNAcentral describes it as "bacterial SSU rRNA". It matches the Rfam family "Bacterial small subunit ribosomal RNA", at positions 8 to 651 of the family's 1533-position model. The record is from RNAcentral.
AGAGUUUGAUCAUGGCUCAGGAUGAACGCUAGCGGCAGGCUUAACACAUGCAAGUCGAGGGGUAACAGGGAUUGCUUGCAAUCCGCUGACGACCGGCGCACGGGUGCGUAACGCGUAUGCAACCUACCUUCUACAGGGGGAUAGUCAAUAGAAAUGUUGAAUAAUACCCCAUACGAUCUUUGAAUAGCAUUAUUUAAAGAAGAAAGUUCCGACGGUAGAAGAUGGGCAUGCGUCCUAUUAGUUAGUUGGAGAGGUAACGGCUCCCCAAGACAUCGAUAGGUAGGGGUCCUGAGAGGGAGACCCCCCACACUGGUACUGAGACACGGACCAGACUCCUACGGGAGGCAGCAGUGAGGAAUAUUGGACAAUGGAGGCAACUCUGAUCCAGCCAUGCCGCGUGCAGGAAGACUGCCCUAUGGGUUGUAAACUGCUUUUAUACAGGAAGAAAUGUACCUACGUGUAGGUAUUUGACGGUACUGUACGAAUAAGGAUCGGCUAACUCCGUGCCAGCAGCCGCGGUAAUACGGAGGAUCCAAGCGUUAUCCGGAAUCAUUGGGUUUAAAGGGUCCGUAGGCGGUCUUUUAAGUCAGAGGUGAAAUCCUACAGCUCAACUGUAGAAUUGCCUUUGAUACUGAAGGACUUGAGUUAUU